AACGCUAGCUACAGGCUUAACACAUGCAAGUCGAGGGGAAACGACAUCGAAAGCUUGCUUUUGAUGGGCGUCGACCGGCGCACGGGUGAGUAACGCGUAUCCAACCUGCCCAACACUUGGGGAUAACCUUGCGAAAGUAAGACUAAUACCCAAUGACGUCUCUAGAAGACAUCUGAAAGAGAUUAAAGAUUUAUCGGUGAUGGAUGGGGAUGCGUCUGAUUAGCUUGUUGGCGGGGUAACGGCCCACCAAGGCGACGAUCAGUAGGGGUUCUGAGAGGAAGGUCCCCCACAUUGGAACUGAGACACGGUCCAAACUCCUACGGGAGGCAGCAGUGAGGAAUAUUGGUCAAUGGGCGAGAGCCUGAACCAGCCAAGUAGCGUGCAGGAUGACGGCCCUAUGGGUUGUAAACUGCUUUUAUAAGGGAAUAAAGUGAGUCUCGUGAGACUUUUUGCAUGUACCUUAUGAAUAAGGACCGGCUAAUUCCGUGCCAGCAGCCGCGGUAAUACGGAAGGUCCGGGCGUUAUCCGGAUUUAUUGGGUUUAAAGGGAGCGUAGGCCGGAGAUUAAGCGUGUUGUGAAAUGUAGAUGCUCAACAUCUGCACUGCAGCGCGAACUGGUUUCCUUGAGUACGCACAAAGUGGGCGGAAUUCGUGGUGUAGCGGUGAAAUGCUUAGAUAUCACGAAGAACUCCGAUUG
Molecule: ribosomal RNA, 696 nt
Filed under: uncultured bacterium
Lineage: Bacteria
Description: bacterial SSU rRNA
Rfam family: Bacterial small subunit ribosomal RNA
Source: RNAcentral